This 420-nucleotide ribosomal RNA is filed under the name bacterium. RNAcentral's name for it is "partial 16S ribosomal RNA". It matches the Rfam family "Bacterial small subunit ribosomal RNA", at positions 355 to 776 of the family's 1533-position model. The record is from RNAcentral.
UGGGGGAUAUUGCACAAUGGGCGAAAGCCUGAUGCAGCGACGCCGCGUGGGGGAUGAAGGCUUUCGGGUUGUAAACCUCUUUCGCUAUCGAACAAGGCCCGCUUAGGGUGGGUUGAGGGUAGGUGGAGAAGAAGCGCCGGCUAACUACGUGCCACCAGCCGCGGUAAUACGUAGGGCGCGAGCGUUGUCCGGAAUUAUUGGGCGUAAAGGGCUUGUAGGCGGCUUGUUGCGCCUGCUGUGAAAACGCGGGGCUUAACUUCGCGCGUGCAGUGGGUACGGGCAGGCUUGAGUGUGGUAGGGGUGACUGGAAUUCCAGGUGUAGCGGUGGAAUGCGCAGAUAUCUGGAGGAACACCGAUGGCGAAGGCAGGUCACUGGGCCAUUACUGACGCUGAGGAGCGAAAGCAUGGGUAGCGAACAGG